RNAcentral lists this transfer RNA (85 nucleotides) under Felis catus (domestic cat). It matches the Rfam family "tRNA". Rfam says of the family: Transfer RNA (tRNA) molecules are approximately 80 nucleotides in length. Their secondary structure includes four short double-helical elements and three loops (D, anti-codon, and T loops). The record is from Rfam by way of RNAcentral. Lineage: Eukaryota; Metazoa; Chordata; Mammalia; Carnivora; Felidae.
GCCUGGGUAGCUCAGUCGGUUGAGCGUCUGACUUCGGCUCAGGUCAUGAUCUCACAGUCUGUGGGUUCAAGCCCCGCGUCAGGCU